This 478-nucleotide ribosomal RNA is filed under the name uncultured bacterium. Its description in RNAcentral is "bacterial SSU rRNA". It matches the Rfam family "Bacterial small subunit ribosomal RNA", at positions 30 to 518 of the family's 1533-position model. The record is from RNAcentral.
CGAACGCUGGCGGCGUGCUCACACAUGCAAGUCGACGGAAAGGCCCAGCUUGCUGGGUACGUCGAGUGGCGAACGGGUGAGUAACACGUGAGUAAUCUGCCCUUGGCUUUGGGAUAAGCCUCGGAAACGGGGUCUAAUACCGGAUAUGACUUCCACCUGCAUGGGUGAGAGUGGAAAGGUUUUUCCGGCUGGGGGAUGUGCUCGCGGUCUAUCAGCUUGUUGGUGGGGUAAUGGCUCACCAAGGCUUUGACGGAUAGCCGGCCUGAGAGGGCGACCGGCCACACUGGGACUGAGACACGGCCCAGACUCCUACGGGAGGCAGCAGUGGGGAAUAUUGCGCAAUGGGCGAAAGCCUGAACCGCAGCGACGCCGCGUGAGGGAUGACGGCCUUCGGGUUGUAAACCUCUUUCAGUACCGACGAAGCGCUUGUGACGGUAGGUACAGAAGAAGCGCCGGCUAACUACGUGCCAGCAGCCGC